Molecule: ribosomal RNA, 494 nt
Filed under: uncultured bacterium
Lineage: Bacteria
Description: partial 16S ribosomal RNA
Rfam family: Bacterial small subunit ribosomal RNA
Source: RNAcentral
GACGAACGCUGGCGGCGUGCUUAACACAUGCAAGUCGAACGGAAAGGCCUGCUUUCCCUUGUGGUUUGCGGGUACUCGAGUGGCGAACGGGUGAGUAACACGUGAGUGAUCUGCCCCCAACUUGGGUAUAAGCCUGGGAAACUGGGUCUAAUUCCCGAUAGGACUGCAGGGUGGUGCCUGUGGUGGAGAACGAUUUUCUAGUGGUUGGGGAUGCGCUCGCGGCCUAUCAGCUUGUUGGUGGGGUAAUGGACUACCAAGGCGGCGACCGGUCGACGGCCUGGGAGGGUGGACGGCCACAUUGGGACUGGGAUACGGCCCAGACGCCUACGGGAGGCAGCAGUGGGGAAUAUAGCACCGUGGGCGGAAGCCUGAUGCAGCGACGCCGCGUGGGGGAUGACGGGCUUCGGGUGGUAAACUCCUUGCGACCGCGAGGAAGCCACCUGGUUGGAAGGGUGGUGACGGUAGUGGUAGAAGAAGCACCGGCUAACUACGUG